RNAcentral lists this ribosomal RNA (396 nucleotides) under uncultured bacterium. Its description in RNAcentral is "partial 16S ribosomal RNA". It matches the Rfam family "Bacterial small subunit ribosomal RNA", at positions 523 to 918 of the family's 1533-position model. The record is from RNAcentral.
AUACGUAGGGGACAAGCGUUAUCCGGAUUUACUGGGUGUAAAGGGAGCGUAGGCGGCCAGCCAAGUCAGAAGUGAAAUCCCACGGCUCAACUGUGGGCGUGCUUUUGAAACUGGAGGGCUCGAGUACUGGAGGGGCAAGAGGAAUUCCUGGUGUAGCGGUGAAAUGCAUAGAUAACAGGAAGAACACCGGAGGCGAAGGCGGCUUGCUGGACAGAGACUGACGCUGAGGCUCGAAGGCGUGGGGAGCAAACAGGAUUAGAUACCCUGGUAGUCCACGCGGUAAACGAUGAAUGCUAGGUAUUGGGAUCCAUAGGGUCUCGGUGCCGCAGUUAACGCAAUAAGCAUUCCACCUGGGGAGUACGUUCGCAAGAAUGAAACUCAAAUGAAUUGACGGGG